Triplophysa dalaica is the source of this 400-nucleotide long non-coding RNA. RefSeq lists it as uncharacterized. NCBI's taxonomy places the organism in Eukaryota, Metazoa, Chordata, Actinopteri, Cypriniformes, Nemacheilidae. The transcript is spliced from 3 exons. The record is from RefSeq and is a predicted model, not a curated record.
AACUUCCAGCCAACCAGAGAGGCAUAUUCCCAGCCCUCACGCUCUGACUCGUCCGGACGCUGCUGUAGGUGGACAAGUACAUAUACACAGUAAACAAUUAAAAAAUUGAUGAUGAACAUUAAGCACAUUUGCGGCAAGGCUCUAAAGUCGGACCCAGGUUUUCUUGCCAAAUGGAUUAGAGAUGCGUGCAAGGACAGGAGAAGACCCCCUGAAAGUACACAGAGCUCUCUAUGUCACGCAAUCCUGAGCUUUACCAGAAUCCCCCAGAAUUCAAAAGGAACUAAACAAAGCUCAGCCCAAGAAUCUUUUUUAACCUCAUCCCAAUUUUUUUACUUGCUCUCAAUAUGAAAAGGUUAUUUUCUGAUUUCUGAUUUUUGGAUUGAAAACAAGAUGAGAGUGG